RNAcentral lists this ribosomal RNA (450 nucleotides) under uncultured bacterium. RNAcentral describes it as "partial 16S ribosomal RNA". It matches the Rfam family "Bacterial small subunit ribosomal RNA", at positions 354 to 796 of the family's 1533-position model. The record is from RNAcentral.
GUGGGGAAUAUUGGACAAUGGGCGAAAGCCUGAUCCAGCCAUGCCGCGUGUGUGAAGAAGGUCUUCGGAUUGUAAAGCACUUUAAGUUGGGAGGAAGGGCAGUAAGUUAAUACCUUGCUGUUUUGACGUUACCGACAGAAUAAGCACCGGCUAACUUCGUGCCAGCAGCCGCGGUAAUACGAAGGGUGCAAGCGUUAAUCGGAAUUACUGGGCGUAAAGCGCGCGUAAGUGGUUUUGUAAGUUGGAGGUGAGAUCCCCGGGCUCAACCUGGGAACUGGCCCCAAAACUGCAUGACUAGAGUACGGUAGAGGGUAGUGGAAUUUCCUGUGUAGCGGUGAAAUGCGUAGAUAUAGGAAGGAACACCAGUGGCGAAGGCGACUACCUGGACUGAUACUGACACUGAGGUGCGAAAGCGUGGGGAGCAAACAGGAUUAGAAACCCGAGUAGUCC